Molecule: ribosomal RNA, 807 nt
Filed under: bacterium
Lineage: Bacteria
Description: bacterial SSU rRNA
Rfam family: Bacterial small subunit ribosomal RNA
Source: RNAcentral
UGUGAAAGCCCGGGGCUUAACCCCGGGUCUGCAGUGGGUACGGGCAGGCUAGAGUGUGGUAGGGGAGACUGGAAUUCCUGGUGUAGCGGUGGAAUGCGCAGAUAUCAGGAGGAACACCGAUGGCGAAGGCAGGUCUCUGGGCCACUACUGACGCUGAGAAGCGAAAGCGUGGGGAGCGAACAGGAUUAGAUACCCUGGUAGUCCACGCCGUAAACGUUGGGCGCUAGGUGUGGGUCCCAUUCCACGGGAUCCGUGCCGCAGCUAACGCAUUAAGCGCCCCGCCUGGGGAGUACGGCCGCAAGGCUAAAACUCAAAGGAAUUGACGGGGGCCCGCACAAGCGGCGGAGCAUGCGGAUUAAUUCGAUGCAACGCGAAGACACCUUACCAAGGCUUGACAUGUACCGGACGCUUCCAGAGAUGGUUGUUCCCUUUGGGUCGGUACACAGGUGGUGCAUGGUUGUCGUCAGCUCGUGUCGUGAGAUGUUGGGUUAAGUCCCGCAACGAGCGCAACCCUCGUUCUAUGUUGCCAGCGGUUCGGCCGGGGACUCAUAGGAGACUGCCGGGGUCAACUCGGAGGAAGGUGGGGAUGACGUCAAAUCAUCAUGCCCCUUACGUCUUGGGCUUCACGCAUGCUACAAUGGCCGGCACAGAGGGCUGCGAUACCGCAAGGUGGAGCGAAUCCCAAAAAACCGGUCUCAGUUCGGAUUGGGGUCUGCAACUCGACCCCAUGAAGUCGGAGUCGCUAGUAAUCGCAGAUCAGCAACGCUGCGGUGAAUACGUUCCCGGGCCUUGCACACACCGCCCGUC